RNAcentral lists this non-coding RNA (84 nucleotides) under Metabacillus indicus. RNAcentral describes it as "Bacillus cibi c-di-GMP-II sequence". It matches the Rfam family "Cyclic di-GMP-II riboswitch aptamer". The record is from Rfam by way of RNAcentral. Lineage: Bacteria; Bacillati; Bacillota; Bacilli; Caryophanales; Bacillaceae.
UAAUGAAUGGAAUGCAGAGAUUGAUCGUUUAUAAUUGGGCGCUUUAACGAUCGGGAGCAAGUAGCGCAACCGGCCAGCACAGAC